AGAAGGUAGUUCAAAGUUGGGAUACUUCUAUCUUAAAGAAUUUUUCAUUCUCAAUCCAACGGAUCAAGUUUUGUUGUAAUCCGUGUUCGUUUGGGGCAUGAACUUGACAGUUCUAACUGAUUGCGCAAAAUCCUACGGGAGCGAGGAUUUCGCAACUACCUGGAGUUUAUCCUUAUCUUGCACAUGGAUAGUUGAGUUUGUGAGGGACUUAUAACUUGAGGUUGUUUCUCUUUAAAAGGACCCUCAAGGAUGGGGUUUGAGAUGAGAGAGAGAUCAUUGAGGGAUCUUCUUAUAUCUAUGAG
RNAcentral lists this long non-coding RNA (302 nucleotides) under Elaeis guineensis (African oil palm). Its description in RNAcentral is "long non-coding RNA (EGUI_LNC039523)". The record is from RNAcentral. Lineage: Eukaryota; Viridiplantae; Streptophyta; Magnoliopsida; Arecales; Arecaceae.